Molecule: non-coding RNA, 949 nt
Organism: Chinchilla lanigera (long-tailed chinchilla)
Lineage: Eukaryota; Metazoa; Chordata; Mammalia; Rodentia; Chinchillidae
Source: the annotation of a RefSeq genome assembly
UCAGUGGAGCUGAUUGGCUGCAGGAGCAGGAGCAGGAGCAGGAGCAGUUCCAGAACCAGGUCCUGACACCAGUGCCCCUGAGUGGACUAAGUGCAUCCAUCUGAGAUCUGGACUAAGUACAUCCAACCAGACCAACAAGGGUCAUGAAGAGGAUCCUGAGCUCUCUGCUGGGGUUUUGGUGCACCCAGGUUUUCUGUGUGACAGGAAUGCAGGUGGAGCAGAGUCCUCCAGCCCAGAUCCUCCAGGAGGGAGCCAAUUCCACUCUGUCAUGCAGUUUUUCUGCCUCGGUGACCAGUGUGCAGUGGUUCCGCCAAGAUCCUGGGGGACGCCUCUUCAGCCUGUUCUACAUUCCUUCAGGGACAAAGCAGAAUGGAAGACUAAAGGCCACGACAGUCACUAAAGAACGCCACAGCUCCUUGUCCAUCUCCUCCUCCCAGCCCUCAGACUCAGCCACUUAUUUCUGUGCUGCAGCCCACAGUGCUCCCCAGGCGCCUGCAGCUGGUACACAAACCCUCAGCUGAGCUCAGCCCCACGCCAGCCACAGGUGCGUCACAGGGCCACUGCAGCAACCUCUUCACUGCUUAGUGUCACUUACCUACGUCGGUGGAGCUGUGCCUACAGAUAAUUUUGUACAGUGUAGAUUUGGGGCUUUGGCUUUUAACUUCAUUUCCUCUGAAAUGUAAUUUUCCAACUUGCAACUAGUAGAUAGCUUAAAAGAAGAUUAAAUCAAAUUACAUACUUAAGCUCCAGAAUUCUGAACUCCAAACAAGACAGAAAAAAAGGAACUAAAGGAAAGGAAAAUCUUUCAGAUGAAGACUUUACUGAUGAUUAGUAGUUGAGCUGGACGCCUCAAGCAAGCACUUUCAGUUCUGCCUCACCACCACCUGCAGGCAAAGGGUGGAUAUUGUGUUUGUCAUUCCUUCUACCAGGGUGCAGGGAAAACAGUAAA